This is a long non-coding RNA of Aricia agestis (brown argus), 583 nucleotides long. RefSeq lists it as uncharacterized. The transcript is spliced from 2 exons. Lineage: Eukaryota; Metazoa; Arthropoda; Insecta; Lepidoptera; Lycaenidae. The record is from RefSeq and is a predicted model, not a curated record.
UAAAAGGAAAUAAGCGCCAAAAAGUGAAAUGUUCAGGAGAGUCGUUUUAAGUUUUGAGUUUAAGAAAAACUGACGUAUCUCUGUUAUUUAUUGACGUAUCGUGAUAAUUUAAACAGUUAUAAAAUGAUAAAAAAUGUGCCUCGUACCGGUAUUGUUAGUUUUAAUGAUUUGGUGCUAUUUAAAGUAUUUUUGUCGCUUAUAACAAUUACUUUAAAAUUUUGAAUGAGGUAAUAUGGCAUAAGAGACAAAUGGCAAAAAAAAAUUAGAGAAUAAGAAGCCUAAACAAUAUUCUGAUUUCUUAUAUCGCAAAGUAAAAGGGUAUACGAGACUAGACGAUUCAGUAAGUGUUAUAGGAAAAAAAGGAUAACGACUUUUUACAGUGGUCGUUUAUUAGUUAAUAGAACAGAAGUAACAGUAGACUUUCACAAAAACUAGACUUAAGUGACACACAAUGUCAUUUGAAAGUGAAGGAAAAGAAGAAUAAUCAACAUCUGGCGACUGGCAUUGUGUGAGUCUAUGGAAAUGUGGUUGAAAAAGGUUUAUGGGUUGUAGGGUAUAACCGACAGAGUAAUAUGAAAAUAAA